RNAcentral lists this ribosomal RNA (642 nucleotides) under Salacia nitida. RNAcentral's name for it is "eukaryotic LSU rRNA". The stretch from base 246 to 401 matches the Rfam family "5.8S ribosomal RNA". The record is from RNAcentral. Lineage: Eukaryota; Viridiplantae; Streptophyta; Magnoliopsida; Celastrales; Celastraceae.
UCAUUGUCGAAACCUGCAAGGCAGAACGACCCGCGAACUGUUUAGAACUCAUUCGAGGGGCGGGCCCUCGUGCCCAACGCUCGUUGCCCCGGGGCCAGGGUUGUGGGUCAGGCCCACACCCCCUUGCCCUGGGCACAGACAACAAACCCCGGCGCAAAUCGCGCCAAGGAAAAAGAAAGAAGAUGCGCUCCCUUCGUCCCGGAAACGGUGCACGGGGACCGCGUCGUCGUUAUCCUCUACGAAACGACUCUCGGCAACGGAUAUCUCGGCUCUCGCAUCGAUGAAGAACGUAGCGAAAUGCGAUACUUGGUGUGAAUUGCAGAAUCCCGUGAACCAUCGAGUUUUUGAACGCAAGUUGCGCCCAAAGCCGUUAGGCCGAGGGCACGCCUGCCUGGGUGUCACGAAAUGUCGCCAAAUAUCCCUCUGCCCCCUUCUAAGGGGAAGCAUCGAGGGCUGGCGGAUGUUGGCCUCCCGUGCGCAGUUGCUCGCGGUUGGCCCAAAAGAGAAUCCCCCCGGCGAGGGAGCCACGACACGCGGUGGUUGAAAGCGUACGCUCUCCUCGAACACCGUCGUCGGCGAGCCUCGUCCAAGGGGAAAGCCCAAGACCCCGACGCGCAGCGUCUUUCACGGAGCGACCCCAGG